UUUCUUGUUUUGUUUCCCGAAUGUAUCAGUGUCCCACGAACUAAUUUGUAAAAACCUACCAUGUUUUAGUGGUAUGUUGGCUGACUCCCUGAAACCAGGCAGUUCUUUGUUGUUUUGACAGCGUUUGGCUUGCAUGAAGAUGUGUAGUGCGAUGGUUUCUUUUUUAAGCAAAAAUGAUAAAAUUAAAAUGUCCAUAAUUUUUGCAUUUUAUUGCUCUUGGUUCAUUUUUGAAGAUUUUCUCAAAAGAUUAUUAUCACUAAAUCAAGAAGUCAUUGUCGCCUUAGCCUGCGUGCAGACUUUACAAAUAGAGGAUAUUGUAAGGUCUGCGCAAUGGCGCAGAUUUUCUUGUACCCACUUCUUUAACAAGACUGUUCAAAACUCUUUGUCUCUGGAACCAAUAAGAUGUCUUUCCAUGAUUUUAAGAAACGAAUCAGAACGAUGCCUCUUUCAUCAUAUUACGGGAAAGUAGCUUGCUUUCUGUAUAAGAUAUGGUCCUACUUGAAAGCUUUAUUUCGAAAGUAGCAAUAUAUCUCUAUGAUUGUGCUUAACGCGAUUAUGCCUUGCUUUUUGUUUAUCUUAUUUCUCAUUAAUCCUUAGUUAGUAUUUAUGACAGACCAUUGCUGUUUAUUGACACACUUUUUUAUAGGAAUGGCGUCAAGGCCUUUUUGGUGCUGUCUCCUAGCAAUCCACACGAAGAAAUCAACACUGAAUCGAGGUCAAAGCUCCUUCUCAGCUCUGUCGCUGUCGCUCUCUCAAAUACGAAUUGUGAUACUCCUGUAUUCGUGCAAGUUCAACAAAGAUGGCGUCGUCUCUAUUUUGGCAUUUGUAUGGGUAACGGCUUUAGAGUCAGUUAUGAAAUGGCUCAUAUGAAAAAAACUCCUCAACAGUGUCAGAAUUUGACCGGACUCUUAGAUGUUUUCAAAUCAAAGCUGGCGGUUCCUUCUAGUUUGUUAACACCAGUGACUAUUUCAGUGCGGUUUACUUAUAUACUGGGCUGGAACGAAGAAGAAUGGGUCCAAGAUCCUCCUGAUUUUGAAUCUGGGUUUGGAGCUGAGGUCGGUUACUUGAUUUUGUCAAGGCUACCUUUCGGACCAUUGCAGGAUCCUAUUAGUGAGUUGCAUCUAGCGACCUCUUGGCCAUGGCUGACAGAAGAGACAUUUGUUGAUGAUUCUGAUUUUUCGUAAGUUUACUCAAUACUGUUAUCUAUCUUUAUAUUAUAUAUAUACUUAUCAUUACGAUUGUGUAUCAGCUCCAGCUCGAAUCUAUGUUUUUCCUUUCUCUGCCACAUAACACAAAAACAUUGAUUUACAACUCUGUCAUUAAUAUGACUUGAUUUGUUCGAUAUAAAUGUAUCUGUUCCACCGAACAGUAUGUUAUUUUUCUAGUACCAUUUUCCUAGAGUGAGGUGACCAAAACAAUGUAGAUAAAACUAUUGCAAAAGGAAUGAUGAAAAUUCCUUUUUUUCAAAUUGCAGUUAUUUGCAUGACACUAAUAUAUUUCCCAGUGAAGAUAUUCUGAAGUUCUUUUGACAAUUUGAAAUGGCAGUUACUGAUGAUACCGUUUUGCGUUUUGGAUUCAAAUCAGUUUUUCUAAAAAUUUCCUAUAAAACAAUUCUUUUUUGAAGCAGCCAAAUCUGGAAUAACGUUCUUGCCGAAAUAAUAAAUGCAAACAAUGAUGAUAUCUUAAAAAGACGUUUAGAAAAAUGUUAAUCCCAUGUUCCUGGUGAUUAUGCAUCCAGU
This is a non-coding RNA of Rhopilema esculentum, 1739 nucleotides long. The record is from RefSeq and is a predicted model, not a curated record. Lineage: Eukaryota; Metazoa; Cnidaria; Scyphozoa; Rhizostomeae; Rhizostomatidae.